GGCUAACGCCGUGACAGCGGCGUGGGGAAGACGGAGGGUGCAAGCGUUAUCCGGAUUUAUUGGGUUUAAAGGGUCCGUAGGCGGACUUAUAAGUCAGUGGUGAAAGCCUGUCGCUUAACGAUAGAACUGCCAUUGAUACUGUAAGUCUUGAGUAUAAUUGAGGUAGCUGGAAUAAGUAGUGUAGCGGUGAAAUGCAUAGAUAUUACUUAGAACACCAAUUGCGAAGGCAGGUUACCAAGUUAUAACUGACGCUGAGGGACGAAAGCGUGGGGAGCGAACAGGAUUAGAUACCCAGUAGUC
RNAcentral lists this ribosomal RNA (300 nucleotides) under uncultured Porphyromonas sp. RNAcentral's name for it is "bacterial SSU rRNA". It matches the Rfam family "Bacterial small subunit ribosomal RNA", at positions 495 to 795 of the family's 1533-position model. The record is from RNAcentral. Lineage: Bacteria; Pseudomonadati; Bacteroidota; Bacteroidia; Bacteroidales; Porphyromonadaceae.